GGUCGGGCCCUGUGCAAUGAACGGGUGGCGAACCCCGCCAGGCCCGGAAGGGAGCAACGGUACCCGCUUUGGUCAUGUGCCGCAGUCAGCCUGGCUAUC
This 99-nucleotide signal recognition particle RNA is filed under the name Deltaproteobacteria bacterium CG11_big_fil_rev_8_21_14_0_20_47_16. RNAcentral describes it as "signal recognition particle sRNA small type". It matches the Rfam family "Bacterial small signal recognition particle RNA". From Rfam's summary of the family: The signal recognition particle (SRP) is a universally conserved ribonucleoprotein involved in the co-translational targeting of proteins to membranes. Lineage: Bacteria; Deltaproteobacteria. The record is from RNAcentral.